CCUACGGGAGGCAGCAGUGAGGAAUAUUGGUCAAUGGGCGAGAGCCUGAACCAGCCAAGUCGCGUGAGGGAGUACUGCCCUAUGGGUUGUAAACCUCUUUUGUCGGGGAGCAAAAGCCGGACGUGUCCGGCUGUGAGAGUACCCGCAGAAAAAGCAUCGGCUAACUCCGUGCCAGCAGCCGCGGUAAUACGGAGGAUGCGAGCGUUAUCCGGAUUUAUUGGGUUUAAAGGGUGCGCGGGCGGAUUUUUAAGUCGGCGGGCAAAUCCUGGGGCUCAACCCCAUCCAGCCGUUGAAACUGGGGGUCUAGAGUGGGCGAGAGGUAGGCGGAAGUCGUGGUGUAGCGGUGAAAUGCAUAGAUAUCACGCAGAACCCCGAUUGCGAAGGCAGCAUACCGGUGCACAACUGACGCUCAGGCACGAAAGCGUGGGUAUCGAACAGGAUUAGAUACCCGAGUAGUC
Molecule: ribosomal RNA, 458 nt
Filed under: uncultured bacterium
Lineage: Bacteria
Description: partial 16S ribosomal RNA
Rfam family: Bacterial small subunit ribosomal RNA
Source: RNAcentral